CCUACGGGUGGCAGCAGUGAGGAAUAUUGGUCAAUGGGCGGGAGCCUGAACCAGCCCAGUCGCGUGAGGGACGACGGUCCUAUGGAUUGUAAACCUCUUUUGUCGGGGAACAAAGGCGCCCCCGGGUGGGCUGAUGAGUGUACCCGAAGAAAAAGCAUCGGCUAACUCCGUGCCAGCAGCCGCGGUAAUACGGGGGAUCCGAGCGUUAUCCGGAUUUAUUGGGUUUCAAGGGUGAGUCGGCGGCCGGUCAAGUCAGCGGUAAAAAUGCGGUGCUCAACGCCGUACAGCCGUUGAAACUGGGAGUCUUGAGUGGGCGAGAAGUAUGCGGAAUGCGUGGUGUAGCGGUGAAAUGCAUAGAUAUCACGCAGAACUCCGAUUGCGAAGGCAGCAUACCGGCGCCCUACUGACGCUGAGGCACGAAAGCGUGGGUAUCGAACAGGAUUAGAUACCCCUGUAGUC
This 459-nucleotide ribosomal RNA is filed under the name uncultured bacterium. RNAcentral's name for it is "partial 16S ribosomal RNA". It matches the Rfam family "Bacterial small subunit ribosomal RNA", at positions 338 to 795 of the family's 1533-position model. The record is from RNAcentral.